UACAGAGGUCUCAAGCGUUGUUCGGAUUCAUUGGGCGUAAAGGGUGCGUAGGCGGCGGGGCAAGUCAGGUGUGAAAUCCCGGGGCUCAACCCUGGAACUGCACUUGAUACUGCUUUGCUAGAGUACUGGAGAGGAGAUUGGAAUUUACGGUGUAGCAGUGAAAUGCGUAGAUAUCGUAAGGAAGACCAGUGGCGAAGGCGAAUCUCUGGACAGUUACUGACGCUGAGGCUCGAAGGCCAGGGGAGCAAACGGG
Molecule: ribosomal RNA, 253 nt
Filed under: uncultured bacterium
Lineage: Bacteria
Description: partial 16S ribosomal RNA
Rfam family: Bacterial small subunit ribosomal RNA
Source: RNAcentral